GAUGAAGAACGCAGCGAAAUGCGAUACGUAAUGUGAAUUGCAGAAUUCAGUGAAUCAUCGAAUCUUUGAACGCAUAUUGCGCUCUCUGGUAUUCCGGAGAGCAUGCUUGUUUGAGUAUCAGUAAACACCUCAACUCCCUUUUCUUUUUUGAAAUGGGAGCUGGACUUGAGUGAUCCCAACACUUUUCUCACUGGAAAGUGGCGGGUCACUUGAAAUGCAGGUGCAGCUGGACUUUUCUCUGAGCUAUAAGCAUAUCUAUUUAGUCUGCCUAAAAAACAGAUUAUUACCUUUGCUGCAGCUAACAUAAAGGAGAUUAGUUCUUGUGCUGACUGAUGCAGGAUUCACAAAGACGGCUUCGGCCGACUUUGUAAACUCGAUCUCAAAUCAAGUAAGACUACCCGCUGAACUUAAGCAUAUCAAUAAGCGGAGGA
This 431-nucleotide unclassified non-coding RNA is filed under the name soil metagenome. RNAcentral describes it as "partial contains 5.8S ribosomal RNA, internal transcribed spacer 2, and large subunit ribosomal RNA". The stretch from base 1 to 120 matches the Rfam family "5.8S ribosomal RNA", at positions 35 to 154 of the family's 154-position model. The record is from RNAcentral.